This is a long non-coding RNA of Balaenoptera ricei (Rice's whale), 176 nucleotides long. RefSeq lists it as uncharacterized. The record is from RefSeq and is a predicted model, not a curated record. Lineage: Eukaryota; Metazoa; Chordata; Mammalia; Artiodactyla; Balaenopteridae. The transcript is spliced from 3 exons.
AGCGCCCCCUGCCGCGCCUCCCGGGAUCCGCGACGCCCGCCCCGCCCCCGGGCCUGAGAGGGGGCUGGGGUCCCGGGAGGGGGAGGGAACCGCAGCGCCCGCUGCCAGACCGUGAGCCCGGAUCUUGUUAAAGGGACGCGGAUUCCAUCCCUGGUCUGGGAGCUAAGAGCCCACAU